This 1066-nucleotide long non-coding RNA is filed under the name Brassica napus (rape). Its description in RNAcentral is "long non-coding RNA (BNAP_LNC016377)". Lineage: Eukaryota; Viridiplantae; Streptophyta; Magnoliopsida; Brassicales; Brassicaceae. The record is from RNAcentral.
AUACAAUUAUAAAAAGGUGAAAGUAAGUUGGUUAUGAAUUAUGGAAGUGAUGAAAGUAAUUGCUAACGGGCAGCGACAAGAAUGACCAAAAAAUCAAGAAAAAUCGGAAAAUCAAACACUAAACGUCCGAAAAAUGUAUGGACGGUAAAUAAAACAAAUAGAAAAUGAUAUAAUGGACGAUGGGACAAAUAAUAAAUAAUAUGUUGGGGCCGGGCCUGAGGUCCAUUGCAUACUCGUCGUCCGAGAGGUCUGGUCCCUUGGCGGCUUCCUCAGGGACGAUGUUGUUUGGUGUCUUGUUUACGUAUCGUGAUCUUGUUGACGAUAAAAGAAACCCACUCCAAACAAAACACACUCUUAAUAAUAGUUCAAAAUCUUGAAUAUGAAUUGCAAAGCAGGAGUGUUACAAAAAAAAGGAUUGCAAAGCAGGAAAGGCGAUAUCACUCAUAAAAAAAAUACUGAACUACUUAGCUUUUUAUUUUGAUAAGAUGAAUCACUUUGUUAUUCAAUAGGAAAAGGAGAAAUAUUCCAAAGCCCAACAGUUUGAAUUACAAAAAUAACUUAUUAAUUUUACUAGAGUUAGUUUCAAUGAUACUAUAUUUUACAAUGAAAAAUAGAGUGAUGAACAAAAAGCUAAACAAAUUACUCUAUAUAUAGUACGCUAUAUUCUACUCUAUAUUUAGAGUAAAUUAUAUUUUAUUCUAUUAUAGAAUAGAAAAUAGAAUACUAUUAAAUCAUUUUUUACUCUAAAGUUUAAAUUCUAUUUUAGAGUAAAAAAUAAAAUAAUGUCGAAGAUGCCCAUAUACAAAUCUUUUUUUGGGUCAAAAUGCAAGUCUUUAUUUACCUGAACACAACAAUAUAGAGCCGAGCUGAAGGGCAAGACUUUUGUACGUGAUCGUAGUAUGUGACGUCGUCUCGUCCACGCUGCAUUGAAGAGUACCUACGCACUAAGAUCGUUUUUAGAAAAGAAAGAACGUUUUGAUUCGAGGCGGAUCCCUUUUCGAAGAUGCCCAUAUACAAAUCUUUUUUUGGGUCAAAAUGCAAGUCUUUAUUUACCUGAACACAACAA